GAUGAAGAACGUAGCGAAAUGCGAUACUUGGUGUGAAUUGCAGAAUCCCGUGAACCAUCGAGUCUUUGAACGCAAGUUGCGCCUCAAGCCAUUAGGUUGAGGGCACGUCUGCCUGGGCGUCACAUAUCGUUGCCUGAUGCCAGUUUCCUCGUGAUGGGUGACUGUGCAGGGCGAAUGAUGGCUUCCCGUGAGCAUUGUUGCCUCAUGGUUGGUUGAAAAUUGAGUCCUUGGUAGGGAGCGCCGUGAUAGAUGGUGGUUGAGUGACGAACGAGACCCAAUCAUGUGAGACCACUACCGAAUUUGGCCUUCAUGACCCACAUGCGUCUUUGGAACGCUCAUGACGAGACCUCAGGUCAGGCGGGGCUACCCGCUGAGUUUAAGCAUAUCAAUAAGCGGAGGA
This 400-nucleotide unclassified non-coding RNA is filed under the name soil metagenome. RNAcentral describes it as "partial contains 5.8S ribosomal RNA, internal transcribed spacer 2, and large subunit ribosomal RNA". The stretch from base 1 to 122 matches the Rfam family "5.8S ribosomal RNA", at positions 35 to 154 of the family's 154-position model. The record is from RNAcentral.